AGCGAACGCUGGCGGCAGGCCUAACACAUGCAAGUCGAACGAACCUUUCGGGGUUAGUGGCGGACGGGUGAGUAACACGUGGGAACGUUCCUUUAGGUUCGGAAUAACUCAGGGAAACUUGUGCUAAUACCGAAUGUGCCCUUCGGGGGAAAGAUUUAUCGCCUUUAGAGCGGCCCGCGUCUGAUUAGCUAGUUGGUUGAGGUAAUGGUACACCAAGGCGACGAUCAGUAGCUGGUCUGAGAGGAUGAUCAGCCACAUUGGGACUGAGACACGGCCCAAACUCCUACGGGAGGCAGCAGUGGGGAAUCUUGCGCAAUGGGCGAAAGCCUGACGCAGCCAUGCCGCGUGAAUGAUGAAGGUCUUAGGAUUGUAAAAUUCUUUCACCGGGGACGAUAAUGACGGUACCCGGAGAAGAAGCCCCGGCUAACUUCGUG
Molecule: ribosomal RNA, 434 nt
Filed under: uncultured bacterium
Lineage: Bacteria
Description: partial 16S ribosomal RNA
Rfam family: Bacterial small subunit ribosomal RNA
Source: RNAcentral